This is a long non-coding RNA of Beta vulgaris subsp. vulgaris (sugar beet), 1048 nucleotides long. RefSeq lists it as uncharacterized. NCBI's taxonomy places the organism in Eukaryota, Viridiplantae, Streptophyta, Magnoliopsida, Caryophyllales, Amaranthaceae. The transcript has 4 exons. The record is from RefSeq and is a predicted model, not a curated record.
UAUGAGUCUUUUUUUCUGUUUCCCUUCCAUUUCCCAUUCCCCUUUCAUCCGUCCUCCAUCCUCCUCAGUCCUCACAUCUUCUACCCUCUCAUCUUUCACUUUCAUUCACUCUCUCUGAUCCCUUUCAUUUCCUGAUGAGCACAAUAUGUGUGUAUAAGGCUGAGUAACGCUUUACAAGUUACAACCGAAUGUAAUUAAGUUUGCAAAUGCCAAAUUGCAAUAAGCUGGAAAGUUUCUAAAUACGAAAUAAUGGGGUGACAAAAGUAUGUCGCAAACAAACAGAAAUCAACUCCGGGAAAGCGUGACUGCGAAAUUGGAACUUGGAACUUGGAACAGUCAUGUGCCGAUUUGCGUGUGCCAUUGUAUACAGACAACCAAGAAAUAUAAGGCAGCAACUAGCAAUAAGCAACAACUGAUCCACACGAAUGAAGAGGAUGGCAACGACAAAAGGGAAAAACAUUGACAUCUCACUCUGAAACGGUUGAUGCUCAUUUUUCUGAAAUAUAGUUUUUAACUAACCUGGUACACUCUUUGAAAUUGUUAUGGUUUUUCGUUUUAUAGAUUGCAGCAGAAAAUAUAAGUCCUGUCGUGCUUAAGGAUAGUACAAAUCCGAUGCUUUAUUUGUUCUAUUCUUGACCAGUAGCAAGAAAGAGAACUGGCAGGAUCAAGAUAAGCAAAAUGAAGAAUUGAAGUAUCAACUCAUGAUAUCGAGGUCGUUAGAAAAAUAUAUGCAUAUGACGGAUGGACUAAAGAUGGAUCGGAGAAGAGAUAAUCAGUCUCCACAACAAAACUCCGGGUUGGAAGUCUUGACAAAUUGGCAUAUAUGGACAAGGAAGGUGCAUGCAUAUGGCGAGAUGACAGAAGAUGGAGACUAGAUAUAUGACUAUUAGGUCUAGUAUCAGAUUAUCAUAUGAAUACGUUGCUUGUUGGAAAGUUUUGAUUUUAUAUAGUACAUAAUUUUUUUUUCAUUAGGUUUUUGAAAAUAUAGCACUAAUCGGUGUAUUAAACUAAAUCAUUAUUGUAAUAUUACAUAUAUCAAUUUCUUAUA